GGGCGGUUAGCUCAGCUGGUUAGAGCAGUUGAUUUACAUUCAACAGGCCGAGGGUUCGAUCCCUUCACCGCCCA
Molecule: transfer RNA, 74 nt
Filed under: Candidatus Omnitrophota bacterium
Lineage: Bacteria; Pseudomonadati; Candidatus Omnitrophota
Description: tRNA-Val
Rfam family: tRNA
About the family: Transfer RNA (tRNA) molecules are approximately 80 nucleotides in length.
Source: RNAcentral